GAUGAACGCUGGCGGCGUGCCUAAUACAUGCAAGUCGAGCGAACUUUUGGGAGCUUGCUCCCAAAAGUUAGCGGCGGACGGGUGAGUAACACGUGGGUAACCUGCCUGUAAGACUGGGAUAACUUCGGGAAACCGGAGCUAAUACCGGAUAACAUUGAAGACCACAUGGCCAUCAAUUAAAAGGUGGCUUUUAGCUACCACUUACAGAUGGACCCGCGGCGCAUUAGCUAGUUGGUGAGGUAACGGCUCACCAAGGCGACGAUGCGUAGCCGACCUGAGAGGGUGAUCGGCCACACUGGGACUGAGACACGGCCCAGACUCCUACGGGAGGCAGCAGUAGGGAAUCUUCCGCAAUGGACGAAAGUCUGACGGAGCAACGCCGCGUGAGCGAAGAAGGCCUUCGGGUCGUAAAGCUCUGUUGUUAGGGAAGAACAAGUAUCGUUCGAAUAGGGCGGUACCUUGACGGUACCUAACCAGAAAGCCACGGCUAACUACGUG
This 498-nucleotide ribosomal RNA is filed under the name uncultured bacterium. Its description in RNAcentral is "partial 16S ribosomal RNA". It matches the Rfam family "Bacterial small subunit ribosomal RNA", at positions 28 to 507 of the family's 1533-position model. The record is from RNAcentral.